Non-coding RNA from Cordylochernes scorpioides, 69 nucleotides. The record is from the annotation of a GenBank genome assembly. Lineage: Eukaryota; Metazoa; Arthropoda; Arachnida; Pseudoscorpiones; Chernetidae.
UUCUAGCCUAGUGGACAUGGCAUCUGCCCGGUAAGCGGAACAUUGGGUUCGAUUCCCAUCCCUGGACAC